AGAGUUUGAUCCUGGCUCAGGAUGAACGCUGGCGGCGUGCUUAACACAUGCAAGUCGAACGGAGUAUUAACUUUGAAUUCUAACGGAUGAAGAGUUGAUACUUAGUGGCGGACGGGUGAGUAACGCGUGGAUAACCUGCCCCAUACCGGGGGAUAACAGCCGGAAACGGCUGCUAAUACCGCAUAAGCGCACGGGAAUGCAUGUUUCUGUGUGAAAAACUCCGGUGGUAUGGGAUGGAUCCGCGUCUGAUUAGCUGGUUGGCGGGGUAGAGGCCCACCAAGGCGACGAUCAGUAGCCGACCUGAGAGGGUGGCCGGCCACAUUGGGACUGAGACACGGCCCAGACUCCUACGGGAGGCAGCAGUGGGGAAUAUUGCACAAUGGGGGAAACCCUGAUGCAGCGACGCCGCGUGAGUGAAGAAGUAUUUCGGUAUGUAAAGCUCUAUCAGCAGGGAAGAGAAUGACGGUACCUGAGUAAGAAGCCCCGGCUAACUACGUG
Molecule: ribosomal RNA, 498 nt
Filed under: uncultured Lachnospiraceae bacterium
Lineage: Bacteria; Bacillati; Bacillota; Clostridia; Lachnospirales; Lachnospiraceae
Description: bacterial SSU rRNA
Rfam family: Bacterial small subunit ribosomal RNA
Source: RNAcentral